This 569-nucleotide non-coding RNA is filed under the name Sorghum bicolor (sorghum). RNAcentral's name for it is "rRNA LSU_rRNA_eukarya". It matches the Rfam family "Eukaryotic large subunit ribosomal RNA", at positions 1366 to 1888 of the family's 3401-position model. Lineage: Eukaryota; Viridiplantae; Streptophyta; Magnoliopsida; Poales; Poaceae. The record is from Rfam by way of RNAcentral.
ACCAGCGUAGUAUACGCACAAACCUGUAGACAUCACAAUCACAACUCUGCUACCCGGCCAUCUCAGCAAGCGCCAUGCCCGAGUAGGAGGGCACGGGCGCGAGCCUGAGCGGAGCGGCGUUGGUGCAGAUCUUGGUGAUAGUAGCAAAUUUUUAAAUGAGAACUUUGAAGACCGAAGAGAAGAAAGGUUCCAUGUGAACGACACUUGCACAUGGGUAAGCCGAUCCCAAGGGAUAGGGUAACCCCGACAGACAACGUGAUCUCGUGUGUUGCCCGAAAGCAAAUCGGGUUAAGAUUUCCUGAGCCGAGAUGUGGCGGUUGACGGCGACGUUAGGAAGCCCGGAGACGCUGGCAGGUGCCUCGGGAAGAGUUAUCUUUUUCUGCUUAACGGACUGCCAACCCUGGAAUCGGUUUAGCCGAAGGUAGGGUCUAGCAGUCAGAAGAGCACCGCACGUCGCUCGGUGUCCGGUACGCCCCCGACGGCCCUUAAAAAUCCGGAGGACCGAGUACCAUCCAUGCCCGAUCGUACUCAUAACCGCAUCAGGUCUUCAAGGUGAACAACCUCUAGCC